AUUGAACGCUGGCGGCAGGCUUAACACAUGCAAGUCGAGCGGGAAAGGUAGCUUGCUACCUAACCUAGCGGCGGACGGGUGAGUAAUGCUUAGGAAUCUGCCUAUUAGUGGGGGACAACAUUCCGAAAGGAAUGCUAAUACCGCAUACGCCCUACGGGGGAAAGCAGGGGAUCUUCGGACCUUGCGCUAAUAGAUGAGCCUAAGUCAGAUUAGCUAGUUGGUGGGGUAAAGGCCUACCAAGGCGACGAUCUGUAGCGGGUCUGAGAGGAUGAUCCGCCACACUGGGACUGAGACACGGCCCAGACUCCUACGGGAGGCAGCAGUGGGGAAUAUUGGACAAUGGGCGAAAGCCUGAUCCAGCCAUGCCGCGUGUGUGAAGAAGGCCUUUUGGUUGUAAAGCACUUUAAGCGAGGAGGAGGCUACUUAGAUUAAUACUCUAGGAUAGUGGACGUUACUCGCAGAAUAAGCACCGGCUAACUCUGUGCCAGCAGCCGCGGUAAUACAGAGGGUGCGAGCGUUAAU
RNAcentral lists this ribosomal RNA (522 nucleotides) under uncultured bacterium. Its description in RNAcentral is "bacterial SSU rRNA". It matches the Rfam family "Bacterial small subunit ribosomal RNA", at positions 28 to 545 of the family's 1533-position model. The record is from RNAcentral.